Molecule: ribosomal RNA, 463 nt
Filed under: uncultured Sphingobacteriales bacterium
Lineage: Bacteria; Pseudomonadati; Bacteroidota; Sphingobacteriia; Sphingobacteriales
Description: bacterial SSU rRNA
Rfam family: Bacterial small subunit ribosomal RNA
Source: RNAcentral
GGGGCCCGCACAAGCGUGGAGCAUGUGGUUAAUUCGAUGAUACGCGAGGAACCUUACCUGGGCUCAAAUGUAUGUUGACGUAUUCUGAAAGGGAUACUUCUUCGGACAAUAUACAAGGUGCUGCAUGGUUGUCGUCAGCUCGUGCCGUGAGGUGUCGGGUUAAGUCCCAUAACGAGCGCAACCCCUAUCAUUAGUUGCCAUCAGGUCAAGCUGGGGACUCUAAUGAAACUGCCUACGCAAGUAGUGAGGAAGGUGGGGAUGACGUCAAAUCAGCACGGCCCUUACGUCCAGGGCUACACACGUGCUACAAUGGCCGGUACAACGGGAAGCGAGUUCGCGAGGACGAGCGGAUCCCUCAAAGCCGGUCGCAGUUCGGAUUGAAGUCUGCAACUCGACUUCAUGAAGCUGGAAUCGCUAGUAAUCGUGGAUCAGCCAAGCCGCGGUGAAUACGUUCCCGGGCCUU